UACGUAGGGUGCAAGCGUUUGUCCGGAAUUAUUGGGCGUAAAGAGCUCGUAGGCGGUUUUGUCGCGUCUGCUGUGAAAACUGGAGGCUCAACCUCCAGCCUGCAGUGGGUACGGGCAGACUAGAGUGCGGUAGGGGAGAUUGGAAUUCCUGGUGUAGCGGUGGAAUGCGCAGAUAUCAGGAGGAACACCGAUGGCGAAGGCAGAUCUCUGGGCCGUAACUGACGCUGAGGAGCGAAAGCGUGGGGAGCGAACAGG
RNAcentral lists this ribosomal RNA (255 nucleotides) under uncultured bacterium. Its description in RNAcentral is "partial 16S ribosomal RNA". It matches the Rfam family "Bacterial small subunit ribosomal RNA", at positions 524 to 776 of the family's 1533-position model. The record is from RNAcentral.